GUUCCUGUGCUCCCAGUAAUUUGCUUCAGGUCCCUCCCCUUCAAGUCUCUCUGUCGCUCGCGUCCCCGUUCCCCAAUCUCUCGUCGACGGGGGCGGCGGCCAGGCAGAUCCGGUGCUUCCCUGGUGGACGACGGCUACUCUCACGGCACCUGCUCCCUGCCUCGUCCCCUCCUACCCCGGCAUCCAUGUCGCUUGGCGCCGUCCCCAGGGCACCCAACAUCACGCUGCGCAUCGUCGUCAGCGACCGGGCCGCCGCUGCCGCCACGGUCUCCUCCUCCCUGGUGGCCGCGGGCGGCCCGCCCGCUCAGCUGCAUAUUCUAUAUCUGAAGGCAACCUGGUACUGGUCUAGUGCGCCGUGAUGCUGCCACUGUCUCCUCCUCCCCGGUGCUCCUAGAUCCAAUAAUAUCUCACCGGAGGCAAGCCGGUGGUCCUCGAUCUCCUCGCCUCCUUUACCUCGCAGGAUCAGCAGCAAGCGCAAGAAGCUCGAUGAGCAAUAAGCACUAGUAAUGGAGGCAGAGGCAACAGCUUUUCUGUUGUGUGCCAUCAAGUAGCAAAAGUUGAUGCAAUGCGAUUAUUUUGGUCCUUCAUAAUUAGUUUUGCAUGAGAUAUACCAAAAAUGAUCCUCGCAUGCUAUGUUACACUUGAUAAGUUAUGUAUGUGUGUCUCUUCUGUUGUGUUUGGUCCGGGAUCGUGCAAUUUGAAAUGUAUGUUUAGUUAUGAUUUCAAGUGGAUGGAUUAAUGUUCUCAUGUACUCUAAUAUUGGUGAUGAUGUUCACAUACUUUUAGUGACCAACAUGCUCAAAUGUAUGGAUUUCUUGCAUGGUUCGUGAUGUAGCAGAAGCUACUAAUGAAAUCAAAUAUACAUGGAAUCUAGUACAGUACAUAUGUAUAUGCGGUUUUGUGUAAACCUAAGAGGAGAGGGGCACUCGUAUAGGUUUAAAAAAUUGUUUUAUUUAUGAAGGACAACUUGAUUGAUAUAUGAGAGAUUUGAGGUGGUUACUGUAAGGACAACUUGAUUGAUGUAUGAGAGACUUGAGGUGGUUAUUGUAAAGACAACUUGAUUGAUAUAUGAGAGAUUUGAGGUAA
Molecule: long non-coding RNA, 1086 nt
Organism: Triticum dicoccoides
Lineage: Eukaryota; Viridiplantae; Streptophyta; Magnoliopsida; Poales; Poaceae
Exons: 2
Source: RefSeq, a predicted model, not a curated record